Molecule: ribosomal RNA, 275 nt
Filed under: Shigella sonnei
Lineage: Bacteria; Pseudomonadati; Pseudomonadota; Gammaproteobacteria; Enterobacterales; Enterobacteriaceae
Description: partial 16S ribosomal RNA
Rfam family: Bacterial small subunit ribosomal RNA
Source: RNAcentral
AUCUGGAGGAAUACCGGUGGCGAAGGCGGCCCCCUGGACGAAGACUGACGCUCAGGUGCGAAAGCGUGGGGAGCAAACAGGAUUAGAUACCCUGGUAGUCCACGCCGUAAACGAUGUCGACUUGGAGGUUGUGCCCUUGAGGCGUGGCUUCCGGAGCUAACGCGUUAAGUCGACCGCCUGGGGAGUACGGCCGCAAGGUUAAAACUCAAAUGAAUUGACGGGGGCCCGCACAAGCGGUGGAGCAUGUGGUUUAAUUCGAUGCAACGCGAAGAACC